UGCGGCGUAGCUCAGUGGUAGAGCGCCGGGUUCAUACCCCGGAGGUCGCAGGUUCGGGCCCUGCCGCCGCUUCCA
This 75-nucleotide transfer RNA is filed under the name Bordetella bronchiseptica. RNAcentral describes it as "tRNA-Met". It matches the Rfam family "tRNA". Rfam says of the family: Transfer RNA (tRNA) molecules are approximately 80 nucleotides in length. RNAcentral also lists the same sequence under 6 other names. The record is from RNAcentral. Lineage: Bacteria; Pseudomonadati; Pseudomonadota; Betaproteobacteria; Burkholderiales; Alcaligenaceae.